Molecule: unclassified non-coding RNA, 435 nt
Filed under: Hevea brasiliensis (rubber tree)
Lineage: Eukaryota; Viridiplantae; Streptophyta; Magnoliopsida; Malpighiales; Euphorbiaceae
Source: RNAcentral
GUAAGGGAGAAAUACAAUAGGGACAGAAAGUACAAGGGUGUAAAGUAGAAUUACCUAAAGUAGAAUUACCUAACUAGUCUUUAGUCGCAUUUACAGAAGAAAAAAAAAAUGGAAAAAAGAAAAGAAAAAGAUUCUUCCCCCGACCUAGAAAAUCAAAAUAUGGGGUUCCGUAAUAUUAGACUUUUUUGAGGUGUCUAGACGUAGACCGAUGUCCUCCAAGUUACAUACACCUUACAGAUAAAGAGUUAAAUUUUGUCUCUAAAAGAAAUGUGCAAGUUGCAUACCGCUUUUUAACCCUCUGGAAGGACCAAUCUGAUUGUGUGAUUAUAGGUUCAACUUGAAAGGGUAACGGCACGCCAACGCGGAGCUUAAUAUUAUGCAAGUGUUUCCGUGAACUCCUUCCCCCUUCACCACUUAGGGUCUAUUCGACUUUUG